GUAGGGAGCAAGCGUUGUCCGGAUUUACUGGGUGUAAAGGGUGCGCAGGCGGCUUUGCAAGUCAGCUGUGAAAUCUAUGGGCUCAACCCAUAAAUUGCAGUUGAAACUGCAGAGCUUGAGUGAAGUAGAGGUAGGCGGAAUUCCCGGUGUAGCGGUGAAAUGCGUAGAGAUCGGGAGGAACACCAGUGGCGAAGGCGGUCUACUGGGCUUUAACUGACGCUCAGGCACGAAAGCAUGGGUAGCAAACAGGAUUAGAUACCCUGGUAGUCCAUGCCGUAAACGAUGAUUACUAGGUGUGGGGGGACUGACCCCCUCCGUGCCGCAGUUAACACAAUAAGUAAUCCACCUGGGGAGUACGGCCGCAAGGCUA
RNAcentral lists this ribosomal RNA (370 nucleotides) under uncultured rumen bacterium. RNAcentral describes it as "bacterial SSU rRNA". It matches the Rfam family "Bacterial small subunit ribosomal RNA", at positions 527 to 896 of the family's 1533-position model. The record is from RNAcentral.